Molecule: ribosomal RNA, 775 nt
Filed under: uncultured Neocallimastigales
Lineage: Eukaryota; Fungi; Neocallimastigomycota; Neocallimastigomycetes; Neocallimastigales
Description: partial large subunit ribosomal RNA
Rfam family: Eukaryotic large subunit ribosomal RNA
Source: RNAcentral
UAGAUGCGAGAGUAGAGCAUAUCAAUAAGCGGAGGAAAAGAAACUAACAAGGAUUCCCUUAGUAACGGCGAGUGAAGCGGGAAGAGCUCAAAUUUGAAAUCUUCAAGGUUUUACCUUGACGAAUUGUAGUUUAAAGAAGUGUUUUCUGUUGAAGUUUUGGUAAAAGUUCUUUGGAAUAGGACAUCAUAGAGGGUGAGAAUCCCGUAUUUGACCAUUAUUUUCAGCUGUGUGAUACACUUUCAAAGAGUCGGAUUGUUUGGGAAUGCAGUCCAAAAUGGGUGGUAAAUUUCAUCUAAAGCUAAGUAUUGGCGAGAGACCGAUAGCGAACAAGUACCGUGAGGGAAAGAUGAAAAGAACUUUGAAAAGAGAGUUAAACAGUACGUGAAAUUGUCAAAAGGGAAGCGUUUGACACCAGUGUUGUUUUCUCGAAAAUCAAUUAAAAAUGCCCGGAUUUUGUGUUGUAUUGACCUUUAUAAGCUUUCUGCACUCUUUUCUUGUCUUUUUUAAUGCACUUUUCGUUUAACAAGUCAACAUCAAUUUCUUUUGUUGUAAGAGGGUCAUUGGAAGGUGGCUUUCUUUUCGGAGAAAGUGUUUAUAGCCUUUGAUCUCUGCAAUCGGAGAGACUGAGGUCUGCAGCGUAGACUCUUCGGGGUUAGAUACAUUUGUGCUAAGCUAUAGCUUUUUAUAGACAACUUGUUGACUAUAUUUAGUCUUGUGGCUUACUCGCUUAUGCUAUUUUACCUACGCUUAGGAUGUUGACGCGCGUGUGUGCGUG